AAUCAACGCUGGCGGCGUGCCUCAGACAUGCAAGUCGAACGAUUAAACUUCCCUUCGGGGGAGAUAUAAAGUGGCGCACGGGUGAGUAACACGUAGGUAAUGUACCUUUGGGUGGGGAAUAACUUAGGGAAACUUAAGCUAAUACCGCAUAAUGCAGCGGCUCCUUCGGGAGACAGUUGUUAAAGAUUUAUCGCCUAAAGAGCAGCCUGCGGCAGAUUAGCUAGUUGGUAAGGUAACGGCUUACCAAGGCUACGAUCUGUAUCCGACCUGAGAGGGUGGUCGGACACACUGACACUGAAUGACGAGCCAGACUCCUACGGGAGGAAGCAGUCGGGAAUUUUGGGCAAUGGGCGAAAGACUGACCCAGCAACGCCGCGUGAAGGAUGAAGUCUUUCGGGAUGUAAACUUCGUAAGAAUAGGAAGAAUAAAUGACGGUACUAUUUGUAAGGUCCGGCUAACUACGUG
RNAcentral lists this ribosomal RNA (465 nucleotides) under uncultured bacterium. Its description in RNAcentral is "partial 16S ribosomal RNA". It matches the Rfam family "Bacterial small subunit ribosomal RNA", at positions 32 to 507 of the family's 1533-position model. The record is from RNAcentral.